CAAGAUUAAGCCAUGCAUGUCUAAGUAUAAACAACUUUAUACCGUGAAACUGCGAACGGCUCAUUAUAUCAGUAAUUAUUUAUUUGAUGGUACCUUACUACAUGGAUAACCGUAGUAAUUCUAGAGCUAAUACAUGCAUAAAGUCCCAACUUUCGGGGAGGGAUGUAUUUAUUAGAUACAAAAUCAAUCCGGGCAACCGGCUCUUUGGUGAUUCAUAAUAACUGUUCGAAGCGCAUGCCCUUGUGGUGGCGCUAGUUCAUUCAAAUUUCUGCCCUAUCAGCUUUCGACGGUAGUGUAGUGGACUACCGUGGCAGUGACGGGUGACGAGGAAUUAGGGUUUGAUUUCGGAGAGGGAGCCUGAGAAAUGGCUACCACAUCCAAGGAAGGCAGCAGGCGCGCAAAUUACCCAAUCCUGACACAGGGAGGUGGUGACAAAAAAUAACAAUACCGGGCGUUUACACGUCUGGUAAUUGGAAUGAGUACAAUGUAAAUACCUUAACGAGUAUCCAUUGGAGGGCAAGUCUGGUGCCAGCAGCCGCGGUAAUUCCAGCUCCAAUAGCGUAUAUUAAUGUUGCUGCAGUUAAAAAGCUCGUAGUUGGAUUUCUGAUAUUGAAUGCCUGACCGGCUGCGUUCGCGUUAGUCAGUGUUGGGAGAUUCAUAUCAUCCUUCUAGAGAAUAUAUGGGUACUUCACUGUAUUCAUAUACAAUCUAGAUCUUUUACUUUGAAAAAAUUAGAGUGUUUAAGGCAAGCUUAUGCUGUGAAUACAUUAGCAUGCAAUAAUAAUCUAGGACUUUGGUCC
RNAcentral lists this ribosomal RNA (800 nucleotides) under uncultured Cercozoa. Its description in RNAcentral is "bacterial SSU rRNA". It matches the Rfam family "Eukaryotic small subunit ribosomal RNA", at positions 39 to 836 of the family's 1831-position model. Lineage: Eukaryota; Cercozoa. The record is from RNAcentral.